CCCCUUUUUUUUCAAAACAUGUCUUAAUGUCUUAAAAUAUUUAUUAAGUCUGGUCUGCUCAAUGAUUAUUAAUUAAAUAGCCGCAGUAUUUUGACUGUGCGAAGGUAGCAUAAUCAUUUGUCUUUUAAUUGAAGGCUUGUAUGAAUGGCUGGAUGAGGGAAUAUCUUUCUUUAUAUUAAAUACUGAAAUUAAUUUUUUAGUUAAAAAGCUAAAAUUUUUAAGUGGGACGAGAAGACCCUGUAGAAUUUUAUUGAUGAUUAAUUAUUUAAUAUAUGGUUAUUUUUUUUCAUAAUUAAUUAUUAAUUUUGUUGGGGUGACAUUGAGAUUUAAUCAACUCUCAUAAUUAAUUGAAUAAUAAUUUUUAUUUUAAAGAUCCUUUUUUAAAGAUAUUUAGAUUAAAUUACCUCAGGGAUAACAGCGUAAUUUUUCUGGAGAGUUCUUAUUGAUAGAGAAGUUUGCGACCUCGAUGUUGGAUUAAAAUUAGAUUUAAGUGCAGAAGCUUAUAAUUUCUAGGUCUGUUCGACCUUUAAUAUUUUACAUGAUCAAUUUUCAACCCG
This 557-nucleotide ribosomal RNA is filed under the name Rhaphigaster nebulosa. RNAcentral's name for it is "partial large subunit ribosomal RNA". It matches the Rfam family "Archaeal large subunit ribosomal RNA", at positions 1886 to 2687 of the family's 2987-position model. The record is from RNAcentral. Lineage: Eukaryota; Metazoa; Arthropoda; Insecta; Hemiptera; Pentatomidae.